CGCCAUCUUGUCAAAGUGAUUGUGUGUGAGUUCAACGAGCUGUGGAUGAGAAGGUGGGAACUUUCUUUUAGGCGUAUAGACGUUAUUUUUUCCGCCAUUUACCUCUUUUCGCGCUUUCUUUUCCUCGAUAGACUGUUUGUGACGGGCGAAAAUUGUUGUUUGUCUAAACGACGGGACAUUUCUCAUCUGUUAGCUAGCUAAGGCUAGUUUUCUCACGCGCCUGAAGCGGACAAAACCGCGCUUGAAUCCCGGACCAGCGAGAUCGACUGAGAUUAUUCUCCUCUUUUCCUUUUUCUUUUUCACUCGAUGUUGUUUAUGAGGAGUGUAAGUUAAUUUUACUCAUACAGCAGGGGAGGAGAGACGAUGGUGGCGCUAAUAUGACUAAUGAACCGGAAGUCUCGCACAUUCACAGAAACAGCUUACUUCCGCAUUGGAAAAAUAAGGUGGAUAGACCUUAGCCCUGGCUCCUUGCUGCGCUACUUGUCUUGAGUUCCGUUUGUAUUUCCACAACGUCCUUCACGUUGACGAAUUUUUGAAUGAAACUGUAGUUUUAAAGUCUACUGACAUUUGUUAUGAACAUUAUAAUGCACAUGAUAUCUUUCAUUAACUCUUCAAUAAAUACAUCUACUUCACCAGCUAAUUAGGAUACUCUUCAACAGGAAGUUCAAACACAAAAUUCUAAAGAUGGCUGCGCACUUGUUUCUCUGAAGCAUAAGGUCUAUAAUGUUGGACUAGUAUGAUUCAAACAACUGUGAUGCCACAAUACGGUUUCGAAAACCAGUUGUGAACGACUAGAUGGUUAGUUUCUCCAACGAUGCAUAUUGGUAAUUAAAGAGUGAGUUACAUCGUUGUACGGGAAACAUAUAAGCUACCCGUGUCUAGGAAAGGUGUCAUCACAAUCAAAUGUUAGUAACCUAAAUAUUUAGGUGGCCUGUUAGUAACCUAAACAUAGAUGUAUGUGUACACACACAAAACAGCAUGUUGGAGUCUAUUCAGAUUCAACAGUAAUCCUCCAUCUGGGUAAUGCAGGUUUAGGUGUUGAAAAGAAAUAUGGGCGUACUCUUUAAGGUAAUAACAGUAUUAGUGACAUUCAACAAGUGCAACCAAAAAGAUUCAAAACAUCAUUAACCCACAGAUGAGUGUUUAAUAGACAUUUUGUCACAGGUGUGGUCUUUUUUUGUGGUUGGAUUCAAGACAAUGUCAAUAAAAGGAUUUAGAACUGAGAUUUAGAGCUGCGGUUUUGCAUAUUAUGUCAUCUCAAUCCAGAAAUGUAUUAAAAAGGGUCAUAAAUAUCUGAACUUUUUCCCUGAGAAUGUUACCCAUGACAGUUCUAAUGCAAUGGCAACUGUCUGCCAGUUACCGUCUUAAAUGUAAUAGUUUCUUAUGGGCAUUGAUGGUUGCAUUAAGAACUACGUAACCUUUCCAUUACACAAAAGGUUCGUUAUAGGUUCUUUAGAUCAGUGUUUCUUAACUGGUGGGUCACAAGACCAUUCUGAGACCAACAUCAAUAAAAAAUGAAAUUCUAAAUGUUUUUCUGAUGCAAGACUUUUAUUUUGAAAGACAUCCUUGAAAGCUGUUGACACCUUUGUCAGAUGCCGAAGGAUUUGCGUGAAGGUAUAAUUCUCAUUCUAUUCAGGAGCAGUUUCCAUGUUUCAUUAACAGUUCAUGUUAUUAUUAUUCACCAUGAUAAAUGUUGUUUCCAUAACCCAAAAUGCCAUGUUAUUUCACUUUGUGUUAUUUUUGUACAUGUUUAAAUGACUGUGGUGGCUCAUACCAACCUAAUUGUAUUAACAAACUGGGACUAGCCUUAAUUUAUAGGCUGUUUAUUAAUCAGUAUUUGUGAUAUUCUUACAAUUUAUGUUUUAAGAAACAGGGGACGGUGCUUGUGUGUGUGCAUCAACAAUUUUUUGUAAAAAUAAAUUUGCUUUGU
Long non-coding RNA from Cyprinus carpio carpio, 1930 nucleotides. Lineage: Eukaryota; Metazoa; Chordata; Actinopteri; Cypriniformes; Cyprinidae. The record is from Ensembl.